RNAcentral lists this long non-coding RNA (610 nucleotides) under Heterocephalus glaber (naked mole-rat). Its description in RNAcentral is "lncRNA (ENSHGLG00000046619.1)". The record is from RNAcentral. Lineage: Eukaryota; Metazoa; Chordata; Mammalia; Rodentia; Bathyergidae.
AUCUGUUUCCAGUUAGUUUUAAUUAAUUAAUUUUGCUAAGUGCUAAAUGUUUUAUGAUGGAGCCAGCCGUCACUUGUUGAACAGCACCUGAAUGGGGGAGUGAGGAUGAAGAAAAAGAAAGACGCAGAGAUAGAGUUGGGAGCCUCUCAGAGAGACUGCCGCUGCGCUUUUUUAUUCUCCUCCUUUUUUUUCACAGGUUUACAGAGCUCAGACUGUCCAGUGACCUACAGAUCACAGCUGUGUGUCGGAAAAGCAGCCCUGGAGACAUUCAUGUAUCUGCCCCGGAAUCUGAAACUACCUGUGCCUGCCUCUCUGACCACUCCCUGAAGCUCCUCUCUCAGCCUCCUUCCUGCAGCCCCUCAGCACGUGGUGUUUGGCAGUUGUCUCCAUCUUGGUUUGCUAGAUUUCCAAAUCAACCCUCUCCUUCCCCCAAUAGCUUCUCCAGGAGUCACCGACCUUCUCAAGAGGGGAAUUUGUGCUGAAGUCACUGUGCAUAAACAUAAGAUGGAUUGCUACUAUUUAAAUAUUUGAAACCUUUGAGGAAGUCAGAGAGCGUCACAGUCAGGCAGCCAUCUUGUUCAUGUUUACAAUCCCCGAAAAAGGUUUAUCU